Molecule: long non-coding RNA, 1586 nt
Organism: Gallus gallus (chicken)
Lineage: Eukaryota; Metazoa; Chordata; Aves; Galliformes; Phasianidae
Source: Ensembl
GCAUUGUCUAUCCCUGCCACUGUAGGAAUACCUGCAAAUAUUACUUGUAUGCCUGCAUUGUCAACUAAACUCCCCAGCCCCCUAAACUUGGUAGCAUUUCCACGUGAAGCCUUAUCUAAUCCAGUAACCCACCAAUCUGAUGCCAAAGGGUAACGGUGCCGCAGUUAGUAGUAAGACUAAAUAGUAGCACUUAACCGUAAUCCAGCAGGGGAUGAGGCCGAGCUUGUCUUCUGCCAGGGCUGCUCUCAGCCCCAGGGCACGGCGAGCGGCUGCGGGCAGUGCAUCUCCCAGCUGAGGUGCCUGUAAACAUCUGCCAGCUGUCCUUGUGGAGGGCCCGUCAUCGUCAUGGGAACUGAUUGUAACAGCACAAAGGUUCCAGGAGCGUGGGUGAUGUCAGCUGUGACAUCCUCUGGGGGGCCUGGAGCCGCCCUUUUUUGGCCUUGCAGCCCAUCAAGCCAAAGCCUGCUGUCCUGCACGUGGUCCCACCGGGCAGAAACUCUUGGGACGGAGGAAGGUUCAGGGGAGGGGACAGAUGCCUGAGGGCAUUCUUUGAUUCCAUCCCGAGAGUUGUCUUUGUCUGUGUUCUUUCCAUGUCGUGUGGUUUUUCUUUGCUUAUCCUUUUGCAAAGGAUCCUUUUCUUUCUUUUAUGCUUCUUUCUCUGUUGCUUUGCAUGGCACUGCUUUGGUUGUUUGUUGGUUUUUUUCCCCUUCCUUUCAGGCCAAGCCCCAGGGGCUGCUAGGGCAAUGUCCUCACUUGGAGGGGGAGGCUGGGUUUCCCAUCUGAGGGCUUCAUGCACCAAUAGCAAGGAAAACUCAGACACAGAGCAAUGCUAAGCAAAGGCACGCCUUUUCUGAGACACUGUCUCAAGCUCCCUGAGCUCUUUUUUCCUACGAGGUAACUCCCCUGCUUUUUUCCAUCUCUUAUUACAACAAGAGAGAUUUCCAUCGCUCUUACAACAGCUCGCCAAAUAAUGUUCUUACCCACAGAAGCUUUCCCUUUUCUCAGUAAGAGUCGCUCUAAUCCCGGGCUGAUUCCCUAAAACCAAGUGUAAUUUUUCUCCUUCGCAGAAACCAGUCACCAACAGAAGUUGUCCUGUUAGCCCACAUCCACCAAAAAUCCCUCAAAUACACUAUUCUUACAGCCAAACCAGACCAUUUUCUGUUCAGUUGCAGUGCACUUACGGACCGUAUUUCUAGUCUUGUUCCUGCUGAGGUAGUGGUAAAGAAACCCCAGUCUGCCUGACAGCAAUACAUUGCUCAGAGUGAAGCUGCUGGAGCACACAAAAUGCUGUCAGGCGUCCGAGCUGAGCAACAGACUUCAUUCCUGAAUUGCACAGCUACCAGUAGAAGUGACCUCCACGCUGUUUGGCCUGUCCAAGGAGUUCACGCAGCUCUGAGUACCCCCAUUUCUACACAGAGUGGUAUCCCCCGUCGGCUAUCAGCUGCUACUGUAAGCUUUUUUUUGCUGCUUGAAGCCAGAGGGGCCAGACCCAGCUGGCCCUUAGGGACCUCCUUUGACCCAGGCCUCCAACGGAAGUGUACCACUGGUUAACCCAGAAUGGCAACUGUAGACCAAGGCUAUCACAG